UAGUUGUUUUUUGGCUCCGCUCAUUCCAUUCAUGAAUGCCUUAAUUCAUUGAG
Molecule: ribosomal RNA, 53 nt
Filed under: Prosopis spicigera
Lineage: Eukaryota; Viridiplantae; Streptophyta; Magnoliopsida; Fabales; Fabaceae
Description: partial 18S ribosomal RNA
Source: RNAcentral